Long non-coding RNA from Cannabis sativa, 594 nucleotides. RefSeq lists it as uncharacterized. The record is from RefSeq and is a predicted model, not a curated record. NCBI's taxonomy places the organism in Eukaryota, Viridiplantae, Streptophyta, Magnoliopsida, Rosales, Cannabaceae. The transcript has 3 exons.
AUUCAGAGUAAGUAUGUUUUUAUAUUAAUAAAUGUAACAAACUAAUGGAUCGAUUAGUGAGUUGACUGAAUUAACAUGUUUUGUUCUGUAGUGAUCACUGGUUGACAAUUAUGAUUCAUGCCAAUAGUCAAAGUGUUGCAUAUCUUGACUCGACGAAUGACUUUAUCCGAACUGAUAUUAUGAAAUGUAUCCAAAAUGUUGUGGACAUGUACAGGAUCGAAAAAAAAUAUACGAAACAAGGGUCCAGUAAAAAUCAACCAAUACACGUGUCGACAGCAGCCGGAUGGAAUACAAUGUGGUUAUUAUGUUAUGAAGAUUAUCCAGAGUUUCAUGACGGUUGUUAAUCCUGCAAGUUUUUUGAAAAAUCAUUUUAAGUUAGAUGCUCCCUAUAGUAACGAGGAGAUCAAUGCCGUACGGGAUGAGUUGGCCGAAUUCGUGAAGCCUUUGAUUAUAGAUUAAGUACUUAAGGUUACUACACUUUUGAUAUAAUACAUGAGUAGCAAGUUUUAUGAUUAUUGUUAUCUUUUGCAUAUAUUAUUAGUUUAUAUUUAGUUUACGAUAUACAUGGAAUUUAAGUUUUAGAAUCGAUUUUAU